RNAcentral lists this ribosomal RNA (250 nucleotides) under uncultured bacterium. RNAcentral's name for it is "partial 16S ribosomal RNA". It matches the Rfam family "Bacterial small subunit ribosomal RNA", at positions 355 to 620 of the family's 1533-position model. The record is from RNAcentral.
UCGAGAAUCUUCCACAAUGGACGCAAGUCUGAUGGAGCGACGCCGCGUGACUGAAGAAGCAUUUCGGUGUGUAAAGGUCUUUUAUGAGGGAUGACAUAGCGACAGUACCUCAUGAAUAAGGGGCUGCAAAUCACGUGCCAGCAGCAGCGGUAAUACGUGAGCCCCAAGCGUUAUCCGGAAUUACUGGGUGUAAAGUGUGCGUAGGCGGUUUUGUUAGUCUCCUGCUAAAUCCAUCGGCUCAACCGGUGAA